AAACGGAUUCGGUGUAGGUAGGAAUAAUAGUAUACUCUGCCCUGGAUCUAAUCCGAUAAUCUUUAAUAUAAAUAUUCAACACAAAGUCUUAUUCAUCGUCUAAGCUUGCCUAUUCGGUCACUCCAAACCUCCUAGUUUCCAUUUGAAACUCUAGCCAUCGUCUUUUCUAUUCAGUUGAUGGAAGCGGAGGUAGCCAGUGGAUGCGGGUGGUGAG
Molecule: long non-coding RNA, 214 nt
Filed under: Elaeis guineensis (African oil palm)
Lineage: Eukaryota; Viridiplantae; Streptophyta; Magnoliopsida; Arecales; Arecaceae
Description: long non-coding RNA (EGUI_LNC032740)
Source: RNAcentral